CAAACGCUACUAAACUUUAGUUGACUCUAACCAUUAACUUGUAAAUCACUAAACAACCUCUUUGAUUGUGCAACCUGCACUUUUGAAAACUUAGGACUAAUUUCUCUCUACUUGAUCACCAAGUAAAAAACUCAUUUUGGAGUGCAAGAACUCUAAGCAUUUCUUCUCCAAAUUUCAGAAUUAUGAAGGCUUACAGGUGAAGAAAAUAUUUUUUUUUUUUUGGUGUUUGAUCUUUAGAUCUUUUUUGUUUCAAUCUGUGGCUUAGGUAAGAGAUGUAAGGAUAUGAAUUUGAUCUUCAACGAAUAUUCUCUUGAUAAAAUUAAGGCUCAACCAAUAAAAAUAUAUUUUGGAUAAAUAUAUGAAUCAAUGAUCUUGGGGUUGAUUAAACAAAUCUUCGAGUAUGUGUAAUUGACCUUCAAAUAAUGAUCUCUAUAAUGAAAAUAAUAUUCAAUCACACCAUGAGACGAAUUAUGGCGUGUAUAUUUAUAAUGGGUAGUGUCAGAGGUUGAAUAUGAUUAAAAAACAGCUUUAAACUGCGAAUCAAACCCCUUUAUGUCGCACCACUGGUUGAGCUUUGACCCCACACCUAGCGAACGAUGCCUCCGUCGUUCGAGCACCAAACAAGCAGUGAGGUCCCCGGUUUGAGCGUGUUAGGUCCAAUAUUGUAAUUGGCAAUUUUGUAAACAAAAGGGACUUAAUUGAUCACUUGUAAAAUUCAAGGACUUAGUUGCAAUUUUGAAUAGAUGAGGUAAAUUAGUGUUCGAGUCAUUGAAGGAGUCCAAGAUGUCUAAAAAGAUCACAUAUGACCAUCGAAAAUGCAAUUAGAAGUCUAAAGGUUAUCAAAUAACCGCAUAAGUUAUGUUCCAAAUUCUCAGUGGUAACUUGCAAUGUAUUUUUCACAUAAAAAAACAUUGGCAUUUGGAUAAGCUAGAAGAAUUAGACCUUUGAGUUAACUUUCCAACACAAGUUGAAUCACCUCAAUCGGACAUUAGGAGAGAAAAUUAUGGUGAAAACACUGACGGCAGCUUAGUUGUCGCUUGCUUUUUCCUCGAGCAAAAAAAAAAACAGAAUGACUCUUACUCAAUUUUCGCUAGAUCCUCGCUCAAGUGACAUUCUUAUGCUGCAAAACCCCUAAUUAGCAUUUUCAAGUGUUUUACUCGGCCCAUACCACUAAAACAUCUUCAAAUAUAAAUAUCCAACCUGUAGCACGAAUUUUGGUAUGGAUGUUCAUUGUACCUCUCUUAGAAAACAUAUUAUUAUCAUCUUUUUGAAGAUCCAAGAGCACGUCCAAGCAUUGAUUCAUUUUAUUGGGGAAAACAUCAAAGGUCCGAUAAUCUAAAACACAUGUCUUCUUUAAUCUUUUAAACAUUUUUAAAAUAAAAACUUAUUUUAAAAGAAAUGUUUCUAAAAUAAAAUAAAGCAUAUUUAAAAAAUA
RNAcentral lists this long non-coding RNA (1435 nucleotides) under Olea europaea subsp. europaea. The record is from RNAcentral. Lineage: Eukaryota; Viridiplantae; Streptophyta; Magnoliopsida; Lamiales; Oleaceae.